AGGAUCAACGCUGGCGGCGUGCCUAAAACAUGCAAGUCGAACGGCACCUUCGGGUGCAGUGGCGGACGGCUGAGUAACACGUGGGCGACCUGCCCACCGGUGGGGGACAACCUUCCGAAAGGAGGGCUAAGACCGCAUGCGACCGCUCAUUCAGUUGAGUGGGGAAAACAGCGAUGUGCCGGUGGAGGGGCCCGCGGCCGAUUAGCUAGCUGGUGGGGUAACGGCCUACCAGGGCGACGAUCGGUAGCCGGUCUGAGAGGAUGAUCGGCCAGACUGGGACUGAGACACGGCCCAGACUCCUGCGGGAGGCAGCAGUUAGGAAUUUGGGCAAUGGGCGAAAGCCUGACCCAGCAACGCCGCGUGGGCGACGAAGCCUUUCGGGGUGUAAAGCCCUUUUCUUCGGGACGAUAAUGACGGUACCGGAGGAAGAAGCCCCGGCUAACUACGUGCCAGCAGCCGC
Molecule: ribosomal RNA, 460 nt
Filed under: uncultured soil bacterium
Lineage: Bacteria
Description: bacterial SSU rRNA
Rfam family: Bacterial small subunit ribosomal RNA
Source: RNAcentral